GGGCGUUUUGCUCAGCGGGAGAGCGCCUGCCUUACAAGCAGGAGGUCAUGGGUUCAAAUCCCUUAACGCCCACCA
This 75-nucleotide transfer RNA is filed under the name Actinomycetota bacterium. RNAcentral describes it as "Actinobacteria bacterium tRNA-Val". It matches the Rfam family "tRNA". Rfam says of the family: Transfer RNA (tRNA) molecules are approximately 80 nucleotides in length. Their secondary structure includes four short double-helical elements and three loops (D, anti-codon, and T loops). Further hydrogen bonds mediate the characteristic L-shaped molecular structure. tRNAs have two regions of fundamental functional importance: the anti-codon, which is responsible for specific mRNA codon recognition, and the 3' end, to which the tRNAs corresponding amino acid is attached (by aminoacyl-tRNA synthetases). tRNAs cope with the degeneracy of the genetic code in two manners: having more than one tRNA (with a specific anti-codon) for a particular amino acid; and 'wobble' base-pairing, i.e. permitting non-standard base-pairing at the 3rd anti-codon position. The record is from RNAcentral. Lineage: Bacteria; Bacillati; Actinomycetota.